GAUGAACGCUGGCGGCGUGCCUAAUACAUGCAAGUCGAGCGAACAGAUAAGGAGCUUGCUCCUUUGACGUUAGCGGCGGACGGGUGAGUAACACGUGGAUAACCUACCUAUAAGACUGGGAUAACUUCGGGAAACCGGAGCUAAUACCGGAUAACAUAUUGAACCGCAUGGUUCAAUAGUGAAAGGCGGCUUUGCUGUCACUUAUAGAUGGAUCCGCGCCGUAUUAGCUAGUUGGUAAGGUAACGGCUUACCAAGGCAACGAUACGUAGCCGACCUGAGAGGGGGAUCGGCCACACUGGAACGGAGACACGGUCCAGAAUCCUAAGGGAGGCAGCAGUAGGGAAUCUUCCGCAAUGGGCGAAAGCCUGACGGAGCAACGAAGCGUGAGUGAUGAAGGUCUUCGGAUCGUAAAACUCUGUUAGGAGGGAAGAACAAAUGUGUAAGUAACUGUGCACAUCGUGACGGUACCUGAUCAGAAAGCCACGGCUAACUACGUG
Molecule: ribosomal RNA, 497 nt
Filed under: uncultured bacterium
Lineage: Bacteria
Description: partial 16S ribosomal RNA
Rfam family: Bacterial small subunit ribosomal RNA
Source: RNAcentral